UUUCCCCCCUUUCCACCGAAGUGUGGGCUGUCACCCACUUGCCUUUCCCCUCUCCUUUUGACCAUUCAAACCCACCUUUUCUCUCUCUUAUCUCUUCUUCUCUCUCCUCUCUCUUCUCCCCCUCUCCCUCGUAACCGACUUCUUCUUCUUCCUUCUUGUCUGUGCGAACCAGCGAACCAGAAACGGGAGAAGCCGAGACAGCAGCCAGCCGCUGCCGUCAUCGCCCGUGCACCGCCUCGCUCGUCGCCAGGUCGUCGUCCUGCCGCCCGCGCUCCGCCAGCCCUCGUUUCCUCGCGCUCAGGCCUCCCCCGUGCGUCCCUCGCCCCUGUUCUGUCUCGUCCAGCCACCGUGAGUGGCCGAGCAAGCCGCCGGAGCCGCCGUGUGGCCUCACCGGACCGCCUCUUGCUUUCCCCACCCCUCUCCGCCUC
This 428-nucleotide long non-coding RNA is filed under the name Eucalyptus grandis. RNAcentral describes it as "long non-coding RNA (EGRA_LNC005369)". Lineage: Eukaryota; Viridiplantae; Streptophyta; Magnoliopsida; Myrtales; Myrtaceae. The record is from RNAcentral.